GCAAACAUUGAAAUAUUGCUUUUUCCUGGCUGCUUAUUAAAGGAGAAAUUUGCCUACUGUGCUGGAAGAGUCUUUUAUUCAUCGUUCUGUUGAUGUGAAGCAUCCAACUUGAGGUGCUUGGUAUGAGACAUCUGCUGUUUGGAAAGAAGAGUUAUAACCCAGCUACAAGAACUAUUAUACUCCAGUGGUAGUAACAACCCAAAGGAUCACAGGAAGACGGUAAAUGUACUUCUGGUUGGCAGCAGCUGCAUCAUCAUAACGCUAAAAAGCAACCUUGGCUAACUUCAGUACC
This is a long non-coding RNA of Choloepus didactylus (southern two-toed sloth), 292 nucleotides long. RefSeq lists it as uncharacterized. The record is from RefSeq and is a predicted model, not a curated record. NCBI's taxonomy places the organism in Eukaryota, Metazoa, Chordata, Mammalia, Pilosa, Megalonychidae. The transcript has 3 exons.